GCUGGGCAUAUACUAAAAUUGGAAGGAUACAGAGAAGAUUAGCAUGGCCCCUGAGCAAGGAUGACAAUGCAAAUUUGUGAAGCAUUCCAUAUUCUU
RNAcentral lists this small nuclear RNA (96 nucleotides) under Vicugna pacos (alpaca). Lineage: Eukaryota; Metazoa; Chordata; Mammalia; Artiodactyla; Camelidae. The record is from RNAcentral.